This is a long non-coding RNA of Tetranychus urticae (two-spotted spider mite), 1683 nucleotides long. RefSeq lists it as uncharacterized. The record is from RefSeq and is a predicted model, not a curated record. NCBI's taxonomy places the organism in Eukaryota, Metazoa, Arthropoda, Arachnida, Trombidiformes, Tetranychidae.
AGAGUUGAAACAUAUAGACAAGCAAAAUUGUUUCAAAAUAAUUGUAAUGUCAUGAUAAAUUGUGGUUCUUUCAAGAAAAACGGAAAACAAGAUUACAAGUGUAAUGGAUACAAGUGGGUAAACAGUUUAGGCUUUUGUUGGUUUUCAAUCCUUUCAUCAACAAUAUUAUGAAAGAAUUCAUUUCAUGUGACGACCAAAAAUUUUAUGUAAUUCUGCAAUUAGGUCAGUGUAAUUGAUCUUUCUUGGUUACAUUUUUGUUGAAAUGAAAUUCAAGCUGUUCAGACAAGGUCAACAAAUGGACAUAAACAUCAAAUUUUUAAUGACAACAGUACACUUGAGAAGAAACUUGACGAUUCGGAAGCUGAUACAAGAAAAAGCAUCAAGCAGCAGGAAAUUGGAAAUUCGUCUAUUUUUGAAUUAUCUUCAAAGUGAAGUAAACACAAAACAAUAAUAAUCGACACACAAUUACAGCAAUGGCAAUGAAAACAAAAUCAAAAUUAUUAAAAUCAGAAACUUACUUGUUUGAAAUCAGAAACAAAAGAUGGCGAUAGCAAACGAUUUUAAAAAACUGUCAGCUGAGCAAUAUUAACGGUUUUAGACGAAAAUAAUCCUUACAUUAUAAUUUAAUCAGAAUUUUAUCAUUAAUCAUUAAAUACUUUAUUUAGAUUUCAUCUUAACCAAUUCUAUUUUCGCUAAAUACUCUGACUUACGACUUACACUUGUAUAUGGCCUUUCGUUCGAAGUCUACAUUUUUCAACUUCCUGGGCAACUUUUCUCUGAUUGAUGCAUCAUUACUUUGAAAGUAAACUUUCUUACAAGAGUCUAGAUGGUUGAAUUGGAUGGUUAAAUUGUAUCCAAUUAAGUAUGUGUCAUCAACUACAUCAAUAAGCAAUUCUCAAUAAUCCUUUAAUGGUUAAAUGGUGCUUCAAAGUAUUAACUAUGGAAACGUGGAUAGUGCAUUUAAUGCAUACAAAACACAACAAAUCAACCGUAACUACAUUUCCACCUUGAAAUGGUUAGACUGAAUCUACAUUGAAUGAUAAGAUGAUGGUUUAAUAACACUUGAUAGUUUUCCUCUGUUCCUAACCAAACAUUGUAAUGGUCAAAGUAAACCAGGAUAAGACCGAGAUGAAAAAUUGGUUAUCGAUUAAUCCUCUGAAUCUUUCUUUGGACAAGAAAAUGUUUCUUUUUUUACUUUCUUUCCUCUCUUUCCACAAGUUAAUUUGAUGCAAGAAAUGGAAAUGAUCGUUAGCUGUCUAAUAAUAUGUAAAUCUUAAUCGAAUUGCGUCUCAAGCAAUGCAACCAAGAAAAGAGGAAAAUGUGGAUAAAAUUAUGAAUUUAAAAUGAAUCAAGAUGUAAACUCGACUGGUAAUCUGGCCAUUCCAUGGAAAUAGCAACUAUCAAUCCAAUGAGAAAAGUGGACUCUAUCAAUGUUCAACAUUUGAGUCUUGAACUCAACUAACCCAUUCGAUGACUUAUUAAAUCAUUAACUCGAUCCGCCCCAACUUAAUUUGCUUUCCCUUUCAUAAUUGGCUUUGUGGCUUAGUUGGUUAAAGCGCCUGUCUUGUAAACAGGAGAUCCUGGGUUCGACUCCCAGCAAAGCCUUUUUGACCAUUGGCGAUGUUAAUUAUUUUACCAUUCAAUUGUUAAUUGAACCCUUUAAUAAUCACUGGACAACAUCAA